RNAcentral lists this ribosomal RNA (497 nucleotides) under uncultured bacterium. Its description in RNAcentral is "partial 16S ribosomal RNA". It matches the Rfam family "Bacterial small subunit ribosomal RNA", at positions 28 to 507 of the family's 1533-position model. The record is from RNAcentral.
GAUGAACGCUGGCGGCGUGCCUAAUACAUGCAAGUCGAGCGAACAGACGAGGAGCUUGCUCCUCUGACGUUAGCGGCGGACGGGUGAGUAACACGUGGAUAACCUACCUAUAAGGCUGGGAUAACUUCGGGAAACCGGAGCUAAUACCGGAUAAUAUAUUGAACCGCAUGGUUCAAUAGUGAAAGACGGUUUUGCUGUCACUUAUAGAUGGAUCCGCGCCGCAUUAGCUGGUUGGUAAGGUAACGGCUUACCAAGGCAACGCUGCGUAGCCGACCUGAGAGGGUGGUCCGCCCCCCUGGCGCUAGGACACGGUCCUGACUCCUACGGGAGGCAGCAGUCGCCAAUCUUCCGCAAUGCGCGAAAGCUUGACGCAGCAACGCCGCUUCAGUGCUGAUGGUCUUCGGAUCUUAACCCUCUGUUAUUAGGGAAGCACAAAUGUGUCAGUAACUAUGCACGUCUUGCCGGUCCCUACUCAGAAAGCCACGGCUAACUACGUG